CCUACGGGUGGCAGCAGUGAGGAAUAUUGGUCAAUGGGCGGAAGCCUGAACCAGCCAAGUAGCGUGCGGGAUGAAGGCCCUACGGGUUGUAAACCGCUUUUGCACGGGGAUAACACCCUCUACUUGUAGAUGUCUGCCGGUACCGUGCGAAUAAGGACCGGCUAAUUCCGUGCCAGCAGCCGCGGUAAUACGGAGGGCCCGAGCGUUAUCCGGAUUUAUUGGGCUUAAAGGGUGCGUAGGCGGGCGUUCAAGUUAGCGGUUAAAUCGCGGGGCUUAACCGCGCCCGGCAGUUGAAACUGGAAGGCUUGAGUUCAGAAGAGGUAGGCGGAAUUAGUGGAGUAGCGGUGAAAUGCAUAGAUAUCACGCAGAACACCGAUUGCGAAGGCAGCCUGCCAGGGUGCGACUGACGCUGAGGCACGAAGGUGCGGGUAUCAAACAGGAUUAGAUACCCGAGUAGUC
RNAcentral lists this ribosomal RNA (459 nucleotides) under uncultured bacterium. RNAcentral's name for it is "partial 16S ribosomal RNA". It matches the Rfam family "Bacterial small subunit ribosomal RNA", at positions 338 to 795 of the family's 1533-position model. The record is from RNAcentral.